UACGAAGGGGGCUAGCGUUGCUCGGAAUUACUGGGCGUAAAGGGAGCGUAGGCGGACAGUUUAGUCAGAGGUGAAAGCCCAGGGCUCAACCUUGGAAUUGCCUUUGAUACUGACCGUCUUGAGUAUGGGAGAGGUUAGCGGAACUCCGAGUGUAGAGGUGAAAUUCGUAGAUAUUCGGAAGAACACCAGUGGCGAAGGCGGCUAACUGGCCCAUUACUGACGCUGAGGCUCGAAAGCGUGGGGAGCAAACAGG
This 253-nucleotide ribosomal RNA is filed under the name uncultured bacterium. RNAcentral describes it as "partial 16S ribosomal RNA". It matches the Rfam family "Bacterial small subunit ribosomal RNA", at positions 524 to 776 of the family's 1533-position model. The record is from RNAcentral.